AUUGAACGCUGGCGGCAUGCCUUACACAUGCAAGUCGAACGGCAUCGCGGGAAAGCUUGCUUUCCUGGCGGCGAGUGGCGAACGGGUGAGUAACACAUCGGAACGUACCGGCUAGGGGGGGAUAACCCGUCGAAAGACGGGCUAAUACCGCAUACGCUCUUCGGAGGAAAGCAGGGGACCUUUGGGCCUUGCGCUAGCCGAGCGGCCGAUGUCCGAUUAGCUAGUUGGUGGGGUAAAGGCCUACCAAGGCGACGAUCGGUAGCGGGUCUGAGAGGACGAUCCGCCACACUGGGACUGAGACACGGCCCAGACUCCUACGGGAGGCAGCAGUGGGGAAUCUUGGACAAUGGGGGCAACCCUGAUCCAGCAAUGCCGCGUGGGUGAAGAAGGCCUUCGGGUUGUAAAGCCCUUUCGGCAGGGAAGAAAUCGGCGGGGCGAAUAACCCUGCUGGAUGACGGUACCUGCAGAAGAAGCACCGGCUAACUACGUG
This 490-nucleotide ribosomal RNA is filed under the name uncultured bacterium. Its description in RNAcentral is "partial 16S ribosomal RNA". It matches the Rfam family "Bacterial small subunit ribosomal RNA", at positions 29 to 507 of the family's 1533-position model. The record is from RNAcentral.